AUGAAUGUUGAUGGCUGGUUGGCUAGGAGCGGAGCUCGAGGUGUGGCAGCAGUUAUAUGCAGAGACAAGGAUGGUCGCUACCUCGGAGCAUCAACCGUGGUGUUUGAUGGCCUCGUCGAUCCGGCUACCCUAGAAGCGCAAGCAUGCAAAGAAGCUCUAUCGCUUGCCUUUGAUUUACACCUAGCUUCAGUAGUUGUGGCUACCGACUAUGCAGAAGUGGUGGCGAACCUAGCACCUAAAGUUUCAUGCUGGUAUGUCACUGUCUUGCGGGAGAUCAAGCACCAGCAAACCCUCUUUCAAGCUAUCGAUUUCGUCCACGAGAAGCGUCAAUACAAUGGCGAGGCUCACGCCCUUGCCAAGGCGGCUUUCUCUCUUCCAUCUGGGCGCCAUGUGUGGCCAGUAGCUAUGCCUGAUAUAAUUUGUAUCCCUAGAAACAUUAUGAUUUAA
Molecule: ribosomal RNA, 447 nt
Filed under: Triticum aestivum (bread wheat)
Lineage: Eukaryota; Viridiplantae; Streptophyta; Magnoliopsida; Poales; Poaceae
Description: partial small subunit ribosomal RNA
Source: RNAcentral